AUUGCCCUAGUAACGGCGAGUGAAGCGGCAACAGCUCAAAUUUGAAAUCUGGCCCCCUCGGGGUCCGAGUUGUAAUUUGUAGAGGGUGUUCCGGCAUCGGGCCCGGGCUAGGUUCCUUGGAACAGGACGUCACAGAGGGUGAGAACCCCGUCUUCGCCCGGGAUUUCUUUGCCGUGUGGAACCCCUUCGACGAGUCGAGUUGUUUGGGAAUGCAGCUCUAAAUUGGAGGUAAAUUUCUUCUAAAGCUAAAUACCAGCCAGAGACCGAUAGCGCACAAGUAGAGUGAUCGAAAGAUGAAAAGCACUUUGGAAAGAGAGUUAAAAAGCACGUGAAAUUGUUGAAAGGGAAGCUCUUGCAGCCAGACUUGACCGCGGUCGUUCAUCCGUCCUUCUGGGCGGUGCACUCUUCCGCGGGCAGGCUAGCAUCAGUUUCGGGGGCCGGAUAAAGGCCUGGGGAAUGUGGCUCCUCUUCGGGGGAGUGUUAUAGCCCCGGGCGUAAUGCGGCCACCCGGGACUGAGGACCGCGCUCUGCUAGGAUGCUGGCGUAAUGGCUGCAAGCGACCCGUCUG
This 568-nucleotide ribosomal RNA is filed under the name uncultured fungus. Its description in RNAcentral is "eukaryotic LSU rRNA". It matches the Rfam family "Eukaryotic large subunit ribosomal RNA", at positions 74 to 655 of the family's 3401-position model. The record is from RNAcentral. Lineage: Eukaryota; Fungi.